AGGGCUUAAAGAAAAAGGAAAAAAGAAAGGUUCAGAUAAAUGUCGGCUUGAUGACCAUUAAAAAGGGUGGUUUGAAGCCAUACCGUGGAAAAACUAUUUUCCUAACAACAGACCCUGACGCUACUGCCACAAGUCUGCUCAAUCAAGCUGUUAAAAAAAUGAAGGACUUUAACAAAGAUCUAAAAGAUGGACCUUUCCUUCUUCUGUAUCCGGAUGGCACUGAGGUCAUUACUGUCCCUGGAACACAAAGACCAUUUACACUUGAGGCUUAUAAGGCUGAAGUUGGCAAGCCUUAUCAAAGAAUCACUGUUUUCAUCUGCUUGAAGAGUGACUUUGAAGAUGUUGGAGAAAACUCAGACUUGUCUGACUCUGACCCAGAGAUUGUUAUUAAAAGGCCCUCUGAGUUUGAUCUUGCUGAUACACUGCCAUGGGAACUUCAACAUGAAAGCAGUCCUUUACAGAAAGCGGCAGAAUAUGAGAAGGGUGCUGGGGAUCUUGUGCUUGCUAAUGAAGUACAACAGAGACACCAAUUUGCAGGCACAUGGAAUUAUUGCAAAUUUGGCACUGGAACUUGACCACAAGAAGGUCAGCAGGUUCAAUAUAUCAAGGUCAGCUGUAUGGGAUGGAGCUGUUAGAGGAUUUCGACGCAGCACAUACUCUGACAACUACGACAUGUUCAUCAAGUUUAAUGAUGAUGCUGGCAGCUUUGAAGAAGGUUUGGAUACAGGUGGCCCGAGGCGUAAAUUCC
Molecule: long non-coding RNA, 748 nt
Organism: Oreochromis aureus
Lineage: Eukaryota; Metazoa; Chordata; Actinopteri; Cichliformes; Cichlidae
Source: Ensembl